RNAcentral lists this ribosomal RNA (460 nucleotides) under uncultured bacterium. RNAcentral's name for it is "SSU rRNA". It matches the Rfam family "Bacterial small subunit ribosomal RNA", at positions 26 to 518 of the family's 1533-position model. The record is from RNAcentral.
AGAAUCAACGCUGGCGGCGUGCCUAACACAUGCAAGUCGCACGAGAAAGGGGCUUCGGCCCUGAGUAAAGUGGCGCACGGGUGAGUAACACGUGAAUUAUCUACCUCCGAGUGGGGAAUAACUGAGAGAAAUCUUAGCUAAUACCGCAUAACACUUACGAGUCAAAGCAGCAAUGCGCUUGGAGAGGAGUUCGCGGCCGAUUAGUUAGUUGGCGGGGUAAUGGCCCACCAAGACGAUGAUCGGUAUCCGGCCUGAGAGGGCGCACGGACACACUGGAACUGAAACACGGUCCAGACUCCUACGGGAGGCAGCAGUGGGGAAUUUUGCGCAAUGGGGGAAACCCUGACGCAGCAACGCCGCGUGGAGGAUGACAUAUCUUGGUAUGUAAACUCCUUUCGAUGGGGAAGAUUAUGACGGUACCCAUAGAAGAAGCCCCGGCUAACUUCGUGCCAGCAGCCGC